RNAcentral lists this ribosomal RNA (634 nucleotides) under uncultured bacterium. RNAcentral's name for it is "bacterial SSU rRNA". It matches the Rfam family "Bacterial small subunit ribosomal RNA", at positions 97 to 728 of the family's 1533-position model. The record is from RNAcentral.
GGCGGACGGGUGUGUAAUGUCUGGGAAACUGCCUGAUGGAGGGGGAUAACUACUGGAAACGGUAGCUAAUACCGCAAACGUCGCAAGACCAAAGAGGGGGACCUACGGGCUCUCUUGCCAUCAGAUGUGCCCAGAUGGGAUUAGCUAGUAGGUGGGGUAACGGCUGACCUAGGCGACGAUCCCUAGCUGGUCUGAGUGGAUGACCAGCCACACUGGAACUGAGACACGGUCCAGACUCCUACGGGAGGCAGCAGUGGGGAUAUUGCACAAUGGGCGCAAGCCUGAUGCAGCCAUGCCGCGUGUAUGAAGAAGGCCUUCGGAAUGUAAAGUACUUUCAGCGGGGAGGAAGGUGUUGUGGUUAAUAACCGCAGCAAUUGACGUUACCCGCGAAGAAGCACCGGCUAACUCCGUGCCAGCAGCCGCGGUAAUACGGAGGGUGCAAGCGUUAAUCGGAAUUACUGGGCGUAAAGCGCAGGCAGGCGGUCUGUCAAGUCGGAUGUGAAAUCCCCGGGCUAAACCUGGGAAUUGCAUUCGAAACUGGCAGGCUGGAAGUCUUGUAGAGGGGGGUAGAAUUCCAGGUGUAGCGGUGAAUUGCGUAGAGAUCUGCAGGAAUACCGGUGGCGAAGGCGGCCCC